UUUUUUUGCUUUUCAAGUGUUAAUAUCAAUAUAAUAUAUGUGCUUCCUGAUUCUUCGUUAAUAUCAAUCAAGAAAGUCAGCACUCGAUAUUCUUCAAGUUUAUUUUCUGAUGUAUUGUUGAAACGAGUGAUCUUUCAGCAUAUACUAUGGGCUUUCCUUUAUGGCUUUGGCAAGCACUUUCCAUUCUACUACUUGUUUUCAUUUAUCUCUCCUGUUCUUCCUCUUUUCUCUCCGUAAUCUGGUCAGAACCAUUUCUGCUCAGUUUUUGUUCCCAUUGUUUUUCUGUUUUCUCUGCUUAGUCCCUUUUCUUUUCAGUUUCUGUCUCUUGUGAUUUUCCAAUUUCUUCACUUCGAUGUAGGGGAGUGGACAAAUACUGGGGAUAUGGUCUCAAAAUGGGUUUCCAUUAUCAUUAUAAUCCUUCUCUAACUCCGUACAUGGUGGUUUCGCAAUUAGAUUGCCCUUUAAAUUGUGGGUUCCUGAAGGUGAAAGUUGCUCGAGAUGGGAAAAAAGGGACAGUACUUCGACUCUAAGAGGUAUGCAUUUUCUGUUUAGUCCUUCGAGCACUUGAUAGUAUUGGUAAGCUCAGUUACUGUUAUAUAGAUCUUGUUUAUACUUUAGGAACUAUAAGGAGAUAUGAACCUCAAAAAGCAGAUGACCAGCCAUAAUAUAUUGGAUAACACGAUAGACUAAAAUCAAGUAUAGUUAUAGAAGUUGGAUCUUGUGCGUGCAAAAUUGUGUAAUUAUUUUAGCACCUUAAUCGUUUAUUAUCAAACAAUAGAUUGACCUUUGCCCAUAUAAGUUGUUCUCUUGCAUCAGAACUUUGUAUGAUUUAUGUACUUAUUAAGCAUUUGAGGAAACAUGUUUGUCAAAUUAUCUUUCAGGUAUUUCAAAAGAACAUAAAUACCAAUUUCUAGGUUAGAGGUGGCCUGUCAAUUAUUUUGCCUAUAUUUUGUUUCCUUGAUUGAUUUUGGGGUCCGGAACAAAUCUAUUACUGCUUUGCUGUGCAGUAUAUCGAGAGUUGGCUUCAGUGCUUAUGUGUCCUUGCCAAACAACAAUUUACUUUAUGAUGGGAGGAGUUUGGAAUGGUUUUCUCUUAGAAAUACUCAAAGUUACAGAGAGCUAAGAGUUUCCAGUUUCUUAAUAUUUUGUCAAGCUGAUCGUAAGAGAUACUAGUAAUCCUCCUCAUUAUAUUCAUCAAUUUUAAAUAAAUAAACAAUUUAAUGGUGAUGUGAACGCCAGACUAUAUCUGGAGUCUCAUAAUGCUGACUUUUUUUUUUUUUUGGGUAGAAUAUUUUCUCUGGUUCAAGUUUUGUUACACUUACUCCUAUGUACUUCGUUUUACCUUGAUUUUUGCAAGCUAUAAAGACCAACUACCAAUUACAAUUGACUCUUUAGCAUAGGCUCCUCCUCCUAAUUGAGAUAGGGAUCAAAGGUCUGAUGGACUUCUGGAUUUAAGUGGUAAAGACUUCUUUGAAACUCUAGCAAUGAUGUUGAUGCUGGCGAUAAAUGGAUUAGAAAAGCCAGUGAAGUAGCAGUGUGUUGUACUUCAACCUUUCAUGGGUAAGAUUUUGGAAGAAGCAGUUACCAUAGUCUGCAUGGAAGAAAAUUUUAUUGCAUUUAAGAUUGUUAUAAUAUUAUUUUUCAGUACCUAAAAAUAUUAUAUUCUUGUAGAUUGGUGCAGAUGGGAUUUUUUGCUGAAGCAGUGCCAGUUCAUAUCUUUCAUUUCAUAUCAUACCUCAACGGUAAAGAUUUUUGUCAAAUAUUGGGUGGCUCUCUAAAGCUUCAAGGCAUUACUCAAUGAACUCCAAAAAUACAGAUCAAAUCUGGCAUGAAAAGCUACAUUUCAUUUAUUCAUCUCUUGCUUCAUCAUUUAUGCUUCGGAAACAGCCGUCCUACCUUGGUAGGAGUAAGGUCUGCGUACACUCUACCCUCCCCAGACCCCACGUUGUGGGAUUUCACUGGGUUGUUGUUGUUGUUGCUUCAUCAUUUAUGCACCGGUAAGUGCUUCUGUUUUUGGAGAAUUUUCUCUCUUCCCCUUCCUGUUUUUCCUCUCUGCUUUUUCCAUUUCUCGAUUAGCUUUGUCUUGAGGUUCUAUGCAUAAGUUUGUCACGUUAAUUUUAAUGUGCAAUUGGUUUUUUUUUUUUUUUUUUUUUAAUUCUGAAUACAAAGUGAAGUGUUUUGUUUUGUUUUAUGAGUACAGUUUGACUCUUCUUAUUCUAGGUUUUCUUUAAUCUUUCUUGGAUUCUUAGUUAGUCAGUGAUGCUUAGGUUACCACUCUUAGGCUGCUGAUGAAUAAUGAUUAAUGAAAUUAUUGAAUAUUCUAUAAGACCAGGCUUUGCUAGGUCAAUUUUCUGCAGAUUAAAUGUUUGAGGGUGGGUGUAUGCACCUCUUCAGUGAAUCAUCUUUGAUUAUUGCAGCCUGUAGGUGUAAUCGGCUUCUUUCAUGAAUAACUGCUUAAGCAAUAAAACAUAGUUCACAACUUUCUCUCUGUGUUAGUGACGAAAAUUAAAGGCUUGUUUCUUACUUGGAAGUUAUGUUUUCACAUUCCAGAGCCUAUAGGAUGGUUGUGGUAUGAUGUUCUUACAUGACUCUCAUAUUGGUACUUGAUUCUUGAUCCACUGCCGAGUAAUAUGAACUAUGCUCUUUUUAAGGCAUCAAUCUAUUGGUAAAAUUGCUGCCUAUAUACCGAAAAUGUGUGAGGAAACUGAUUAAUUCAUCAUGAUAUUGGAGAUUAAUAAGUAUAUAGAUUUUUAGUGGCAAUUUAAUAUGAUUUCUUGUCAGUAAGAUGUACAAGAAACCUGCAGCUUAUAUAAGUAAAGAUAAACAACAAUGGGAUUAAUAGAUAGAUUGUCUUAGCGAGUUUCCUGAAGUACUAAAGAUAAUAAAGAGCUACCUGAUCAUCUGUAAAUGUCCCGCCAGUAUAUGUAACAGCAGUAUAAUACGGUGAGAGUCUCUCUAUAAUUGACACUCCCUUAAGUUAACUUCUCCUUUUUCAACUAUAUGAAGUACUAAUUAGUGCACAAAUGAACCAAUUUUUAGUCAUUUUUUUAUUGCCAUUGCCCUUGAUCCUUCUAUUAAAUUGCAGCGAAAACUUCAAGCCAGUUCAUUCUUGCAUUUACGUUUAUAUUCAAAGUCUUUGUGGAUGCUUCUCUGCUAGGUUGAACCAUUACACCUAUUUCUUUUUAGUGUUUCAUUCCUAUUUUGCAUCAUCUUUCUUUACGCUUUCUCUGUUGCUCCAUGCAUCCGCCCUCUCUCACAAAAGGUUAGAUAUUUCUUCUGUGAUCUCCAUUUGGGUCUCUCUGACUUUAUUUGUUUCCUUUGUUUUAUGUGUUAAUGCUUGAUUUAUAAGUGGUUUAUAUUUAUAAAGAGGUCUUAACUAGCCACAAUUCGGAAGAGACCUGUACCAGUCCAACCUGAACAGAGCUAUUUUAAGUUUUAGAAGCUCCAAGCUUUGUUGUUCGCCUCUCUCCAAAAAGAUUCCAGAAAUCAGCUGCCAAUAUUCAGAAUCCAGGCUAUUGCAACAUAUCUCAUACAUAUAAUUGAGCCACUACAAUCUCUUUGUUUUUGCCUUUCUAACAAGCUCCUGUACAAACUUCGUUUCACAAAUGAAUGUAAAAUAGUAUGAAGCAUAUUAUGUUAAUAUUUAGUUUAAUUAUGUUUUCUUUA
Molecule: long non-coding RNA, 3666 nt
Organism: Lycium ferocissimum
Lineage: Eukaryota; Viridiplantae; Streptophyta; Magnoliopsida; Solanales; Solanaceae
Exons: 7
Source: RefSeq, a predicted model, not a curated record